CUGGCCGUAAACGAUGAACACUAGAUGUUGGGGGAAUCGACCCCCUCGGCGUCGUAGCUAACGCGUUAAGUGUUCCGCCUGGGGAGUACGCACGCAAGUGUGAAACUCAAAGGAAUUGACGGGGGCCCGCACAAGCGGUGGAGUAUGUGGUUUAAUUCGAUGCAACGCGAAGAACCUUACCAAGGCUUGACAUCCUGCGAAUCUCCAAGAAAUUGGAGAGUGCCUUUUGGAACGCAGUGACAGGUGGUGCAUGGCUGUCGUCAGCUCGUGUCGUGAGAUGUUGGGUUAAGUCCCGCAACGAGCGCAACCCACGUUUUUAGUUGCCAGCAUUCAGUUGGGCACUCUAGAAAGACUGCCGGUGACAAACCGGAGGAAGGUGUGGACGACGUCAAGUCAUCAUGCCCCUUACGCCUUGGGCUACACACGUACUACAAUGCUGCGGACAAAGAGUAGCGAUCUUGCGAAAGUUAGCUAAUCUCGUAAACCGUGGCUCAGUUCAGAUCGUAGGCUGCAACUCGCCUACGUGAAGGAGGAAUCGCUAGUAAUCGCAGGUCAGCAUACUGCGGUGAAUACGUUCCCGGGCCUUGUACACACCGCCCGUCACACCAUGGAAGUUGGCCAUGCCCGAAGUCGUUACUCUAACCUUUUGGAAGAGGGCGCCGAAGGCAGGGCUAAUGACUGGGGUGAAGUCGUAACAAGGUAGCCGUAGCGGAAGCUGCGGCUGGAUCACCUCCUAA
This 737-nucleotide ribosomal RNA is filed under the name Candidatus Synechococcus spongiarum. Its description in RNAcentral is "bacterial SSU rRNA". It matches the Rfam family "Bacterial small subunit ribosomal RNA", at positions 796 to 1533 of the family's 1533-position model. Lineage: Bacteria; Bacillati; Cyanobacteriota; Cyanophyceae; Synechococcales; Synechococcaceae. The record is from RNAcentral.